CCUACGGGAGGCAGCAGUGGGGAAUCUCGCGCAAUGGGCGAAAGCCUGACGCAGCCAUGCCGCGUGAAUGAUGAAGGUCUUAGGAUUGUAAAAUUCUUUCACCGGGGACGAUAAUGACGGUACCCGGAGAAGAGGCCCAGGCUAACUUCGUGACAGCAGACGCGAUAAUACGAAGGGGGAGAGCGUUGCUCGGAAUUACUGGGCGUCAAGGGAGCGUAGGCGGUCUGUUAAGUUAGAGGAGACAGCCCAGGGCGCAACCUUGGAAGUGCCUUUGGUACUGGCAGUCGUGAGUACCGAAGAGGUAUGUGGAACUCCGAGUGUAGAGGUGAAAUUCGUAGAUAUUCGGAAGAACACCAGUGGCGAAGGCGACAUACUGGUCCGUUACUGACGCUGAGGCUCGAAAGCGUGGGGAGCAAACAGGAUUAGAUACCCGGGUAGUC
RNAcentral lists this ribosomal RNA (440 nucleotides) under uncultured Caulobacter sp. RNAcentral's name for it is "bacterial SSU rRNA". It matches the Rfam family "Bacterial small subunit ribosomal RNA", at positions 338 to 795 of the family's 1533-position model. The record is from RNAcentral. Lineage: Bacteria; Pseudomonadati; Pseudomonadota; Alphaproteobacteria; Caulobacterales; Caulobacteraceae.